Molecule: ribosomal RNA, 253 nt
Filed under: uncultured bacterium
Lineage: Bacteria
Description: partial 16S ribosomal RNA
Rfam family: Bacterial small subunit ribosomal RNA
Source: RNAcentral
CACGUAGGGCGCGAGCGUUGUCCGGAAUUAUUGGGCGUAAAGAGCUCGUAGGCGGCCUGUUGCGUCCGCUGUGAAAGCCCGGGGCUUAACCCCGGGUCGGCAGUGGAUACGGGCAGGCUAGAGUGCGGUAGGGGUGACUGGAAUUCCUGGUGUAGCGGUGGAAUGCGCAGAUAUCAGGAGGAACACCGAUGGCGAAGGCAGGUCACUGGGCCGCAACUGACGCUGAGGAGCGAAAGCAUGGGGAGCGAACAGG